RNAcentral lists this ribosomal RNA (315 nucleotides) under Triticum aestivum (bread wheat). RNAcentral describes it as "partial small subunit ribosomal RNA". The record is from RNAcentral. Lineage: Eukaryota; Viridiplantae; Streptophyta; Magnoliopsida; Poales; Poaceae.
AUGGGAGCUCGCCAAGAUGACGCCCAUCGCCAACAUCAUCAACCCGGUGUCAUGGAGAAUCGUGGUGUGGAGCUCGCAAGGAGCACGCCUGCCAUCUACUUCAUCAUGCUGGAGCCAGAGGAUGGAGAUACAACGCUCAUUGGGGAUGUCGCCGAUGUCUACUUCGUCAAGCUGGAGCCCGGAGGCGUGGAGCUGGCGGGGAUGCCGUCAUAUGCCGCGAAGGAUGGCGACACGGAGCUCUCUAGGAUGACGCUUGUAGUCUUCAUCAAGCCAGCACCAUGGAGGACGGAGGUGUGGAGCUCGCGAGGACACUGA